RNAcentral lists this ribosomal RNA (360 nucleotides) under Alcaligenes faecalis. RNAcentral's name for it is "bacterial SSU rRNA". It matches the Rfam family "Bacterial small subunit ribosomal RNA", at positions 72 to 440 of the family's 1533-position model. The record is from RNAcentral. Lineage: Bacteria; Pseudomonadati; Pseudomonadota; Betaproteobacteria; Burkholderiales; Alcaligenaceae.
UGCUCUCUUGUGCGGCGAUUGGCGGACGGGUGAGUAAUAUAUCGGAACGUGCCCAGUAGCGGGGGAUAACUACUCGAAAGAGUGGCUAAUACCGCAUACGCCCUACGGGGGAAAGGGGGGGAUCGCAAGACCUCUCACUAUUGGAGCGGCCGAUAUCGGAUUAGCUAGUUGGUGGGGUAAAGGCUCACCAAGGCAACGAUCCGUAGCUGGUUUGAGAGGACGACCAGCCACACUGGGACUGAGACACGGCCCANACUCCUACGGGAGGCAGCAGNGGGGAAUUUUGGACAAUGGGGGAAACCCUGAUCCAGCCAUCCCGCGUGUAUGAUGAAGGCCUUCGGGUUGUAAAGUACUUUUGGC